UGGCCUGUUUUAGUCUGUUGGCCAUGCUCAGUUUCAGCUCUUCCAGAUGCCUCUGAUUGUCCUCCCCCUCACAUCUGCAACCAUACCAUGGAACAGUCAUCUGGCACUGAAACCAUAGGAGUGGAAGUAAUGAGCUCCCUUCCAAGGGACUUGGCCUCUCUGAAGCAAGCUGCUGACUUGACUGUGCUAAGUCAGAAGAGAGCGACAAGAUGGCGGCGGGAAAACACUGUGUCUUGAGGAGCAGGACAGCACUGUUGGCACAGCGACCAGGAGACUGAACUCAGGGACCUAAAACACCAGCGUUUGUGAUUGCCAGCUAUACGAGAAAGGAUUCACCGAUUCUUCAGAUCUUCCAGCUGAGAGAUCCCAUCUAAAAGAAACAAGCUCAGGACCAACAAAAAUUAUGCACGUUUUCAUCCAGUGAUGAAGAGAAGAUUAACCCAAUUACAGUCUGUGGCAGAGUGGUACUGCUUUGAUCCUACGGUACAGGGUAGCAUUGCACGAUGGAGGAGAUUUGAAGAAGUAUGAGAGGGAAAGGAUGGAAUGUAUAAGGGAAGGAUGUUAACUUUAAAAAGCUGAGUAUAUGGGCUGGAGAGAUGACUCGGCAGGUAAGUACACUGGCUGCAUUUCCAGAGGAGCUGGGUUUAAUUUCUCAUCCAUAUAAUGGCUCACUACCAUCUGUAACUCUGGUCCCAGGGUAUCCAAC
Long non-coding RNA from Meriones unguiculatus (Mongolian gerbil), 706 nucleotides. RefSeq lists it as uncharacterized. The transcript is spliced from 4 exons. NCBI's taxonomy places the organism in Eukaryota, Metazoa, Chordata, Mammalia, Rodentia, Muridae. The record is from RefSeq and is a predicted model, not a curated record.